This 71-nucleotide transfer RNA is filed under the name Etheostoma trisella (trispot darter). RNAcentral's name for it is "tRNA-Trp". It matches the Rfam family "tRNA". Rfam says of the family: Transfer RNA (tRNA) molecules are approximately 80 nucleotides in length. Their secondary structure includes four short double-helical elements and three loops (D, anti-codon, and T loops). The record is from RNAcentral. Lineage: Eukaryota; Metazoa; Chordata; Actinopteri; Perciformes; Percidae.
AGGGACUUAGGUUAAUACUAGACCAAGGGCCUUCAAAGCCCUAAACGGGAGUGAGAAUCUGCCAGCCCCUG